Podarcis raffonei (Aeolian wall lizard) is the source of this 391-nucleotide long non-coding RNA. RefSeq lists it as uncharacterized. The transcript has 5 exons. The record is from RefSeq and is a predicted model, not a curated record. Lineage: Eukaryota; Metazoa; Chordata; Lepidosauria; Squamata; Lacertidae.
UGAAGGGCUGAAGGGAUAGAGAAAAGAGAGGAAGAUCAUUGUGUUAAUAAGGAAGAAUGAUGGACCCUUUGGAAGAUCAGAAGGACACACUGACAGUGUGGGGAGAGGCAAAACGGGAAAGCCCAGGCUGAAAGCACACGCAAAUGGCCACGACCGAGAGAAUUAAAGGAUCUGAAAAUUGUAGAUGGGCUUAUCCUUGGUGGGAGUAAAUUACCUUGCAUAAGAAUGAUAUGGAUGGGUGGGUGGAUACCUGGUUGGGCAGAAUGGUGAAAGCAAGGUCAGAAAAGUACAGCAUUGUGAUUAACAUGUCCAGUUUAUAAUGGCCAGUCGGAACAAUCAGGCACUGCUAACACAGACAUCCUGGCGUCGGAUACAGAAGGAGAGAAGGGGC